CCAUGUGAGUCCCAAAGUGCAGAGCGUUAUUAGUUUUCCCCAAACAGUUGGUUUGGUUAUUUUUUCCUCCCCAACGGCAAAUAAGUCUCCCCAGCUGAGUUGGUUAAUCGUCUCCCUAUCUAAGUUGUAGGCGCAUAUUCCCAACGGUAUACAACGGUUGGAUUUCUCGUUUUCAGCAAUGAUGAAGAUUGAAGGGAAGCGGUGGAUUCUUGAUGGAGGUCGAAUGGUUUUUUGAGAGGAAACUACAGAUUUUCGGAUUGAGAUGAAUGGACUUAUGAUUGUUCCGUGUUAGAGCUUGGUUGUGCGCGUUGCAGAAGAAAAUAUCGGUUGCGGCAAUGGAAGCUGGUUGCAGAUUUUGGUCGCAGCACCGACUUAUAGCAGAACCAGGAUUGAGAACGAAACUGGAAGAAGGUUGAAGAACCAAUUGGCUAGUGCAGGUUGAAUCAAAGGAUGAUCGAAGGUUGAAGGAGAUGAAGAAGAUUGAUGAUGGAAUAAUGGAAUUGGGGCUGGAUUUGAAGCUUCGAGAAGAUGGAUGAAAAAUGAGCCACCCAAUCUGAACCGUGAAGGUACUCAUUUUGCUUUCUGAAUCCCUUCUUCUACUCUGCCUGUUAUGAAAAUCGGUUAGAAGAAAAAACAGUUAGAGGUUGAAGAAGAAGAUUUGAGUGAAGAGUGUGAAAUUUGUAGAAAAAUCAAGCCCCUCCAAAAGUUGCAGCGAGGUUAUAAUCAGAUUGUUGGGAGUUAAGUUGAGUCCGAACAUCAGUCUCUGAACCUCUCCUUGCUGCUGCCAGGUCCGACGCGUCGUCAUUGUUAUACUAAAGCAGGGUGUGUGGCUCGGGCUUAAUGGACUGCACACUAGUUAUACAACCUUGUGUUCAUGCCUUGAUUCAAAGUUCUAUUCUAACAUGGCUUAGGCUUCAAGCUGGUUAUGGUUUACGGCCUCGCAGAUUUGAUGUAAGCAAGUUCUGUGUCUUAACUCUGCCUUUGAGCUUGAUUGCAACAUGGUUCAUUUGGUAGGUCUGUGUGUUAGAGAACUUAGCUGAUUUUGAGAAAUGUUAAUUUGUGCUUUCACUUAGCAAUUACAAUUCGUUUACUUUUAACUUGUGGUGUGCUGAAAAGCCUUGGUAUUGUUGGACCUUUUUAGGAUGUGAGUUGUUCUUUAAUUAUUCUUCUGUUAUGUAACAGGCCAAUGCAGGUUGAGGUUGAAGACCGUGUGGUUAUCGUGUGCAGUGUAAUCCGGAUGCGGUACGAUGUGAGAUGCCUAAGCUGCCAUAGAAUGGCCAUGUGACAGCAUGUAAAAUCAUUGGCUCAUGGUUGGCUGGUUGAACAAACAAAACCUUCCUAUGAACAUACCAAGAUGGAUUUGGCCAAUCAAGAUCGACUACAGAACAAGGAUGGUUAGGAUAUCUAGGGGUGUAUAGCUUUCAAUUCGGUUCCGUAUUGAAAUCUGAAUUUGGUUUUGUAUUGAAUUUGAAUUUGGUUUUGUAUUGAAUUUGGAUACAGUUUUGGGCCUUUGGGGUUAAGAUCAUUUCUAAGGUUAAAUUGGAGCAAAAAACCUGAAAUUAAAGUCGAAAUUCCAAGGUUCAAUCACAAUUGGCUAAGAUUAAUUCCAAUAAAAUUAGAACCAAUUCUAGAA
This is a long non-coding RNA of Lathyrus oleraceus (garden pea), 1633 nucleotides long. RefSeq lists it as uncharacterized. The transcript is spliced from 5 exons. NCBI's taxonomy places the organism in Eukaryota, Viridiplantae, Streptophyta, Magnoliopsida, Fabales, Fabaceae. The record is from RefSeq and is a predicted model, not a curated record.